CAGGACGUCAUAGAGGGUGAGAAUCCCGUAUGUGACUGGCUGCCACGCCCGUGUGAAGCUCCUUCGACGAGUCGAGUUGUUUGGGAAUGCAGCUCAAAAUGGGUGGUAAAUUUCAUCUAAAGCUAAAUAUUGGCCAGAGACCGAUAGCGCACAAGUAGAGUGAUCGAAAGAUGAAAAGCACUUUGGAAAGAGAGUCAAACAGUACGUGAAAUUGUUGAAAGGGAAGCGCUUGCAACCAGACUUGCCCGCGGGUGAUCAGCCGGUAUUUUUACCGGUGCACUCGCCCGUGGUCAGGCCAGCAUCGGUUUGGGUGGCUGGAUAAAGUCCACUGGAAUGUAGCUCCUCUCGGGGAGUGUUAUAGCCAGAGGUGCCAUGCAGCCCGCCCGGACCGAGGACCGCGCUUCGGCUAGGAUGCUGGCGUAAUGGUUGUAAGCGACCCGUCUUGAAACACGGACCAAGGAGUCUAACAUCUAUGCGAGUGUUUGGGUGUCAAACCCAUGCGCGUAAUGAAAGUGAACGGAGGUGGGAACCCUCAAGGGUGCACCAUCGACCGAUCCUGAUGUCUUCGGAUGGAUUUGAGUAAGAGCAUAGCUGUUGGGACCCGAAAGAUGGUGAACUAUGCCUGAAUAGGGUGAAGCCAGAGGAAACUCUGGUGGAGGCUCGCAGCGGUUCUGACGUGCAAAUCGAUCGUC
This 692-nucleotide ribosomal RNA is filed under the name Acarospora peltastica. RNAcentral's name for it is "partial large subunit ribosomal RNA". It matches the Rfam family "Eukaryotic large subunit ribosomal RNA", at positions 196 to 906 of the family's 3401-position model. The record is from RNAcentral. Lineage: Eukaryota; Fungi; Ascomycota; Lecanoromycetes; Acarosporales; Acarosporaceae.